Molecule: ribosomal RNA, 468 nt
Filed under: uncultured bacterium
Lineage: Bacteria
Description: partial 16S ribosomal RNA
Rfam family: Bacterial small subunit ribosomal RNA
Source: RNAcentral
GACGAACGCUGGCGGCGUGCUUAACACAUGCAAGUCGAACGGAAAGGCCCUGCUUUUGUGGGGUGCUCGAGUGGCGAACGGGUGAGUAACACGUGAGUAACCUGCCCUUGACUUUGGGAUAACUUCAGGAAACUGGGGCUCAUACCGGAUAGGAGCUCCUGCUACAUGGUGGGGGUUGGAAAGUUUCGGCGGUUGGGGAUGGACUCGCGGCUUAUCAGCUUGUUGGUGGGGUAGUGGCUUACCAAGGCUUUGACGGGUAGCCGGCCUGAGAGGGUGACCGGCCACAUUGGGACUGAGAUACGGCCCAGACUCCUACGGGAGGCAGCAGUGGGGAAUAUUGCACAAUGGGCGGAAGCCUGAUGCAGAAACGCCGCGUGCGGGAUGACGGCCUUCGGGUUGUAAACCGCUUUCGCCUGUGACGAAGCGUGAGUGACGGUAAUGGGUAAAGAAGCACCGGCUAACUACGUG